Molecule: unclassified non-coding RNA, 382 nt
Filed under: Hevea brasiliensis (rubber tree)
Lineage: Eukaryota; Viridiplantae; Streptophyta; Magnoliopsida; Malpighiales; Euphorbiaceae
Source: RNAcentral
AGAAAGUAGUAUUUUAUUUUAUUUUGAAAGUUAAGCUGAUUUGGGAUUUCUAGCUAGAAUUUGCUUAGUAUUUCUUGUUUGGGGAUUUCAAAUUCUAAUAUUAGUAUGAUUACAAAUGCUCUCAUAAAUAUCUAUGUCUUAUAGGUAUUUUGUAAUAGAGUUUAUUAUGAUAAUUAUUGAUAUUGAGAAUUAAUAAAUUGAGCAUUUGUUUCUCUUUCUCUGUGUGUUUUAUUGUUUCUAGUGAUCUACAUCACUUUAUGUAGUAUUGAAAAAGGAAAAUAAAAAUACCUGUAGCAACUUGAUUGCUUUCUGUGUUGUGUCAAAUUUUGGUUCUAAUUUCAUUGCAUUUGGAAGCUAGGUUGUAAGUUAUAACUUCAAGAAA